This 29-nucleotide small RNA is filed under the name Bombyx mori (domestic silkworm). RNAcentral's name for it is "ovarian small RNA-21125". The record is from RNAcentral. Lineage: Eukaryota; Metazoa; Arthropoda; Insecta; Lepidoptera; Bombycidae.
UACGGAGUCGCAAAAGAAACCGAUGGACC